AUAAGUUAAAGUCGGAGUCAUUUCAUUCUAAAGUUUAAAUUAUUUUAUGCAGUUUUUUGCUAUUUCAGAAAAAUUCCAAGUUAAAAAAAAUGACGAUGCUCAUUUUAUUCGUUAUUUUAUUAUCUUCCUGUUAUUUUUAUGUACCAGAAGUACAUGGAGCAACUAGCACAAGUGAUGACAAAAGUA
Long non-coding RNA from Daktulosphaira vitifoliae (grape phylloxera), 186 nucleotides. RefSeq lists it as uncharacterized. The record is from RefSeq and is a predicted model, not a curated record. NCBI's taxonomy places the organism in Eukaryota, Metazoa, Arthropoda, Insecta, Hemiptera, Phylloxeridae. The transcript has 4 exons.